UCUUAAGAUAAUUGUAAGUCUCUCUGGAUAAGAGCAUCUGCAAAAUGACUAAAA
Non-coding RNA from Salmo salar (Atlantic salmon), 54 nucleotides. NCBI's taxonomy places the organism in Eukaryota, Metazoa, Chordata, Actinopteri, Salmoniformes, Salmonidae. The record is from Rfam.